GGAGGGACAACGGUCUCCCUGGACAGAUCCAAGAGGAAGGGACUUGGGCCGCACCGAGCGCCGUGGGAGAGGCUGUGGGAGAGGCGGGCUCAGGUCCAAGGGAAGCCAGAGCAGAGCAGCAGGGCCACCAGCUGGGGGUGGGUGGGACAGUGUGUCCCCAACCGCCCAGGGCUAUUCCACCCUGCCCUUGUCCAGGCCCCGGACUGGAGGGAAGCCCCACCUGGCCCGAGGCUGGCCUGCAGCCGCGGGGGAAAGUCUGCCUCGAUCCUGGGGACCCCUGGAGACCAGCUGAGUGGCCCUGCUGGCAAUGGAGGGGAAACCACAGCCACCCCUCCCCCAGGGGGGAGGGUCACGCAGCAGUUGGGAGAGAGGAAGGGCUCACACACAUCACCAUGACAGGGUGGGCACAGAGGUGCCACCUCAGCAUAAGGUACAGCAUAUUUUUAUUCAUUUAUUAUUUUGAAAUAUUUAUUAUUAUUAUUUUUUAACGGACACAAUAUCUUUCCUUUGCAUUUGUGCGGUGCCUCGGGCAUGCCAGGCCAUC
Molecule: long non-coding RNA, 544 nt
Filed under: Marmota monax (woodchuck)
Lineage: Eukaryota; Metazoa; Chordata; Mammalia; Rodentia; Sciuridae
Source: RNAcentral